GUGGGGAAUCUUCCGCAAUGGGCGCAAGCCUGACGGAGCAACGCCGCGUGAAUGAAGAAGGCCUUCGGGUCGUAAAGUUCUGUCUUUAGGGACGAAUGCACGAUUGCGAAUAGUUGUUGUGUUGACGGUACCUGAGGAGGAAGCUCCGGCUAACUACGUGCCAGCAGCCGCGGUAAUACGUAGGGAGCAAGCGUUGUCCGGAAUUACUGGGCGUAAAGGGCGCGUAGGUGGACAUUUAAGUCAGAUGUGAAAACUCUGGGCUCAACUUGGAGAUUGCAUUUGAAACUGGACGUCUUGAGGGUAGGAGAGGAAAGUGGAAUUCCUAGUGUAGCGGUGAAAUGCGUAGAUAUUAGGAGGAACACCAGUGGCGAAGGCGACUUUCUGGACUAUACCUGACACUGAGGCGCGAAAGCGUGGGGAGCGAACGGGAUUAGAAACCCCAGUAGUCC
RNAcentral lists this ribosomal RNA (449 nucleotides) under uncultured bacterium. Its description in RNAcentral is "bacterial SSU rRNA". It matches the Rfam family "Bacterial small subunit ribosomal RNA", at positions 354 to 796 of the family's 1533-position model. The record is from RNAcentral.